RNAcentral lists this ribosomal RNA (301 nucleotides) under uncultured bacterium. Its description in RNAcentral is "partial 16S ribosomal RNA". It matches the Rfam family "Bacterial small subunit ribosomal RNA", at positions 509 to 807 of the family's 1533-position model. The record is from RNAcentral.
CAGCAGCCACGGUAAUACGAGGGGGGCAAGCGUUGUUCGGAAUUAUUGGGCGUAAAGGGUGCGUAGGCGGUUUGGCAAGUUUGGUGUGAAAUCUUCGGGCUCAACUCGAAGUCUGCAUCGAAAACUGCCGGGCUUGAGUAUGGGAGAGGUGAGUGGAAUUUCCGGUGUAGCGGUGAAAUGCGUAGAUAUCGGAAGGAACACCUGUGGCGAAAGCGGCUCACUGGACCAUAACUGACGCUGAUGCACGAAAGCUAGGGGAGCAAACAGGAUUAGAUACCCCGGUAGUCCCUGUCUCUUAUAC